This 501-nucleotide ribosomal RNA is filed under the name uncultured bacterium. Its description in RNAcentral is "partial 16S ribosomal RNA". It matches the Rfam family "Bacterial small subunit ribosomal RNA", at positions 30 to 523 of the family's 1533-position model. The record is from RNAcentral.
AUUGAACGCUGGCGGCAGGCUUAACACAUGCAAGUCGAGCGGAGAUGAGGUGCUUGCACCUUAUCUUAGCGGCGGACGGGUGAGUAAUGCUUAGGAAUCUGCCUAUUAGUGGGGGACAACAUUCCGAAAGGAAUGCUAAUACCGUAUACGCCCUACGGGGGAAAGCAGGGGAUCUUCGGACCUUGCGCUAAUAGAUGAGCCUAAGUCGGAUUAGCUAGUUGGUGGGGUAAAGGCCUACCAAGGCGACGAUCUGUAGCGGGUCUGAGAGGAUGAUCCGCCACACUGGGACUGAGACACGGCCCAGAGUCCUACGGGAGGCAGCAGUGGGGAAUAUUGGACAAUGGGCGGAAGCCUGAUCCAGCCAUGCCGCGUGUGUGAAGAAGGCCUUUUGGUUGUAAAGCACUUUAAGCGAGGAGGAGGCUACCUGGAUUAAUACUCUAGGAUAGUGGACGUUACUCGCAGAAUAAGCACCGGCUAACUCUGUGCCAGCAGCCGCCGUAA